This 484-nucleotide ribosomal RNA is filed under the name uncultured bacterium. RNAcentral's name for it is "partial 16S ribosomal RNA". It matches the Rfam family "Bacterial small subunit ribosomal RNA", at positions 30 to 507 of the family's 1533-position model. The record is from RNAcentral.
AUUGAACGCUGGCGGCAUGCCUAACACAUGCAAGUCGAUCGGAUGAACCCUGCUUUCUUCUGGAUUCCGCUUCGCACGUGUUUGUAUUGCCUUUGAAUCUCCCUGCUUUUUGUUUAUUACGUCCUCAUACGUCCUCUUCUACUGCCUACUUCCUGCUCGUGCUUCUUGUUGUUCUUCUGACCUCUUGCUCUCUUAUUUUUCUAGGUCGGAUUAGUUAGUUGGUGGGUUAAAGGCCUACCAAGGCGACGAUCCGUAACUGGUCUGAGAGGAUGAUCAGUCACACUGGAACUGAGACACGGUCCAGACUCCUAAGGGAGGCAGCAGUGGGGAAUAUUGGACAAUGGGCGAAAGCCUGAUCCAGCCAUGCCGCGUGUGAGAAGAAGGUCUUCGGAUUGUAAAGCACGUUAAGUUGGGAGGAAGGGCAGUAAGUUAAUACCUAGCUGUUUUGACGUUACCAACAGAAUAAGCACCGGCUAACUUCGUG